AGAGGCAGGCAACCACGGUAGGGUCAGCGACUGGGGUGAAGUCGUAACAAGGUAGCCGUAGGGAACCUGUGGCUGGAUCACCUCCUUUCU
RNAcentral lists this ribosomal RNA (90 nucleotides) under Bartonella sp. N40. Its description in RNAcentral is "partial 16S ribosomal RNA". It matches the Rfam family "Bacterial small subunit ribosomal RNA", at positions 1445 to 1533 of the family's 1533-position model. Lineage: Bacteria; Pseudomonadati; Pseudomonadota; Alphaproteobacteria; Hyphomicrobiales; Bartonellaceae. The record is from RNAcentral.